Molecule: small RNA, 134 nt
Filed under: Escherichia coli
Lineage: Bacteria; Pseudomonadati; Pseudomonadota; Gammaproteobacteria; Enterobacterales; Enterobacteriaceae
Description: RtT sRNA
Rfam family: RtT RNA
About the family: This family represents a bacterial cis-regulatory element known as RtT RNA.
Source: RNAcentral
UGCAUUUGAAGCCCAUGAGGAUGAGAACCUCCGGGGGCGGGGAGGUUCGACUCGAGCGAAGCGAGAGAACGUUGCGCCAGGAACGGCCCGCAGGGCGAGCCACGAAGUGGCGAGUAAUCCUCUAUCACCGACCA